AAAAAUACAGCCAUAUCUUUCUUUCGUUUCUUCAUCACAAAACAUUCUGUUCACUCUCUCCGCUCUCUUUCUCUCUCUACCAAUUCUCUCAUAAUAUUACAGAAAAUCAAGAAAAAAUUAUCUCUUAAUUUCUUCAUUAUGUGUGCACCAAAAUCCCUCUUAUCUUACCUCUUUUGUUUUCCCCAAAAGUAUUCGCCUAUUUCACCCAAUUUGACGAUUUGAUUACAGGAAAAGAAUUAGGGAUUUGAAAAGAAAUAGGGAUUUGAUUACAAGAAAAUUGCUAACAACGUGGUGCUGAGGGAGAAUGGGGAUCGAAGCAAUCAGGGCAUACAGACUUUUGCCGGCGACACCAUUAUGCUCCGGGAGUCCGCCACCGAAGCCCAGAAGAAAUUCGAGGAGAACCGUCACAUGACCUCCCCUGCCAAUCUCAGCCGCCAUCUCGAGGAGGCGAAUGAGGCCACCCGCUUCAUCUCAACCAUGAUCAUUCAGGCUAAGCUCAACGAUCGCGGAGGUUACGGUGUUUGUCAAAAGUUCUAUUGGGCAAAACACUACUUAUCAUGGCUUAUUAUCUUAAAAAAUGAACAAAAAUUUGCACGCCGAAAUUUGGUGUGAAAUUCAGCCUGCUCGCCGGAAAGGGAAAUAAAAAUUGCUACCGCAUCUGUUUUCGGAGCCAAAAUCGAAGGGUUUGGAGUGUGAAUUUGGGAAUCAUUCCUUCUCGAAACUCGUAGAGGACCUCGAAAACUGUGAGUCAGUGUUUAAUUGUUUCCAAUUCGAGCACGUGUUAUAGCCUUUUAGGGGUCGGAAUAAGACGACAGCGAAUCUGUCAAAAAACAGGGCAGUUUUGCCUAAUCAUCAUACGGAGCUAUUUUUGUUAUGUUGGAGUUAUAAUUUAGGCUAUGUGUCUUCUGAUGUUUUGUAUAUUGACUUGUGAGGUUUGAUUUGGUAUAUUAUUUGGUCGAUUUGGAUAACUCUACAAAUUGUUAUGAUUUUUCAAAUAAACUGUGACAGUUACAAGUUUGUCCAAAAAAUUUCUGGCAGUUUUCUGUAUUCAACUUUUCGUGCUGUUAUUGAUGUGUUAUCUUAGUAAUUGGGAGUUGGUAUCUUCAUCACAAUUGUAGAUAAAGUUGUGAACUUUUAUUUGGUAUAUUGUUUUCCCAAUUUGGAUAAGUGUACGGCCUGCUACGAUUUUUGGAAGAAAAUGUGACAACAAAUAACGUUGGUUUCUAGUUUAAUGUCCAUAGUUAGCAUCUAUCUGUGUCAUUAGUUAUUUGAGUCAUUAGUUAUUUGAAAUUUGUUUUAUGCAUAUUAAGCAAGAAGUUUAAAGUAAUGUGAUCGAAGGUGAAGCUUAAGAAACUAAUGGAUUCUUAUUUCAGGUGUGUCAUUCGUGGUUGUGUACCUAAGAAAAUUUUGGUCUAUGAUGUUGCUUUUGGUGCUAACUCGAGCUAUGUUGGCGAAAUUCUGAGAAAUAGUAAACCUUCUGCCGCACCUGUUUUCGGAGCCGAAAUCGAAGGGUUUGGAGUGAGAUUUUCGAAUCAGUCUCUUCACAAAAGUCGUCGAGGACCGUGAUAAUUAUAUGUGUUGAGUAUAUUUAUGCUCUCAUUAAAGACUUGAGUAUGACUCCAAAGUAAGGUGUUUUUAUAGCACUUGCAUUGGACUUCAGGUUGGGUUGGACUGUUUGAUGAAGUGAAAGAACGUUAUCGUGGAAGUCAUAUUUGUUGUCGCUUAACAAUUUAUGAAGUGGAAUUUAUUAUGAAAUAAUUAUAGUAAUCUUUCUUAUUAUUUGAAAUGAUUGAUUUAUUAUUGUAUGUAGUAUGAUAGAUUGAAAUGUAAUAUUCAUAUUUGAUUGAUAAUGUGUAAAUUUGCAAGCUUUAGUUUUAUUU
This is a non-coding RNA of Erythranthe guttata (spotted monkey flower), 1880 nucleotides long. NCBI's taxonomy places the organism in Eukaryota, Viridiplantae, Streptophyta, Magnoliopsida, Lamiales, Phrymaceae. The record is from RefSeq and is a predicted model, not a curated record.